This 301-nucleotide ribosomal RNA is filed under the name uncultured bacterium. Its description in RNAcentral is "partial 16S ribosomal RNA". It matches the Rfam family "Bacterial small subunit ribosomal RNA", at positions 509 to 809 of the family's 1533-position model. The record is from RNAcentral.
CAGCAGCCGCGGUAAUACGUAGGUGGCGAGCGUUGUCCGGAAUUAUUGGGCGUAAAGGGAGCGCAGGCGGACAUAUAAGUCCAUCUUAAAAGUGCGGAGCUCAACCCCGUGAGGGGAUGGAAACUGUAUGCCUUGAGUGCAGGAGAGGAAAGCGGAAUUCCCAGUGUAGCGGUGAAAUGCGUAGAUAUUGGAAGGAACACCAGUGGCGAAGGCGGCUUUCUGGACUGUAACUGACGCUGAGGCUCGAAAGCCAGGGGAGCGAACGGGAUUAGAUACCCGCGUAGUCCCUGUCUCUUAUACA